AAUUGAAGAGUUUGAUCAUGGCUCAGAUUGAACGCUGGCGGCAGGCUUAACACAUGCAAGUCGAACGGUAGCAGGAAGAAGCUUGCUUCUUUGCUGACGAGUGGCGGACGGGUGAGUAAUGCUUGGGAAUCUGGCUUAUGGAGGGGGAUAACUACGGGAAACUGUAGCUAAUACCGCGUAGUAUCGGGAGAUGAAAGACUGGGACCGCAAGGCCAGUUGCCAUAAGAUGAGCCCAAGUGGGAUUAGGUAGUUGGUGGGGUAAAGGCCUACCAAGCCGACGAUCUCUAGCUGGUCUGAGAGGAUGACCAGCCACACUGGAACUGAGACACGGUCCAGACUCCUAC
RNAcentral lists this ribosomal RNA (344 nucleotides) under Glaesserella parasuis. RNAcentral describes it as "bacterial SSU rRNA". It matches the Rfam family "Bacterial small subunit ribosomal RNA", at positions 1 to 342 of the family's 1533-position model. The record is from RNAcentral. Lineage: Bacteria; Pseudomonadati; Pseudomonadota; Gammaproteobacteria; Pasteurellales; Pasteurellaceae.